UCAGCCGUGCUUGGUCGCCCGGCGUCCCCAGGCCGCUCCGGAGACUCACGGUGAGUCUCAUGGCGGACUCUCGGAGGACGGGCGGGCCGCGAGGGUGGGCCGUGUGACCACCCGGGGGGCUUGGAAAGGAGCCCUGCGGGGUCCCGGCGGUGCUCGAAUCCCUGGGGUCAGUGGGGAACCCUUUCAUGACAUCAUCCUCGUAUAACAUUUCUGAGGAGAAGAUCACGAAUGGACGUGAUCCCCAUGUCUGGAUUCUUCUCUCCCUCCUCCUAUCGCCAUUUGCUAUAGUUGCAGGGGAAAGUGUUUUGUGUGGUUUUCGUUUUAUUGCUGUCAGUCGCUUCCCCGGUCCGGUCCGCGCGUCCUGGGUCCUUGAGGAUCGUGAAAUGAACGAUGCAGAAGACCUUGAGCUCUGUACGCGUUUUGAGGUUCCGCAAACAUUUCCAGAUCACCUGCUUUUCUCUCUCUACCUCCCAGCGCUGAGCGGAAAGCGUUGGACGCUUGACAGUAGUUAAAAGAUCUAGUUGAAAUUAACAGCCGGCUGUCAGCUUUAUGGAAUGUUUCAGAAGCUCUUGCUGGUUUAAGCCUGUUUAAAUGCUAUCUGGGAAACUAGGUGGAGUUUUAGUUUACCUUGCUUCAUUGCAAUAGGUGAUAGGUGAAGGGUAUCUGGGCGAAAUCAUACUGGGCCAGUAAGAGAUUGAUCAACAUAAUGACCUUAGAUGAGAUAAGGCGUUUGCCAAGUAUCAGUUUUAUUAUCCAUAAAAUUAACUACU
This 770-nucleotide long non-coding RNA is filed under the name Rattus norvegicus (Norway rat). RNAcentral's name for it is "long non-coding RNA NONRATT007349". The record is from RNAcentral. Lineage: Eukaryota; Metazoa; Chordata; Mammalia; Rodentia; Muridae.